This 256-nucleotide ribosomal RNA is filed under the name uncultured bacterium. Its description in RNAcentral is "partial 16S ribosomal RNA". It matches the Rfam family "Bacterial small subunit ribosomal RNA", at positions 524 to 776 of the family's 1533-position model. The record is from RNAcentral.
UACGUAGGGUGCAAGCGUUUGUCCGGAAUUAUUGGGCGUAAAGAGCUCGUAGGCGGUCUGUCGCGUUCUGCUGCGAAACUCAGGGCUUAACCCUGAGCUUGCAGUGGGUACGGGCAGACUAGAGGUGUGGUGGGGGGAGACUGGAAUUCCUGGGUGUAGCGGUGGAAUGCGCAGAUAUCAGGAGGACACCAAUGGCGAAGGCAGGUCUCUGGGCCACAACUGACGCUGAGGAGCGAAAGCGUGGGGAGCGAACAGG